RNAcentral lists this non-coding RNA (239 nucleotides) under Licmophora paradoxa. Lineage: Eukaryota; Bacillariophyta; Fragilariophyceae; Licmophorales; Licmophoraceae. The record is from RNAcentral.
CACAAAAGGGGGCACACACAAACAAAUAUAAGAAUAUAAAUCUGGACACAAAAAGACAAGGAAUGGUCCACAUAAUCGUAGCAAACAUAUGGAAACGCUCCCUUGCUGUUUCUCUUGUCCCUUUUUCUCUUUCCCCUCCCUUUUUCUUUCACAACAAGUCAGCACACAUGGACAAAGACAGACAGACCCACUCCCCCUCCUCUUAGAAUAUUAAAUCCAUUCCAUUCCAUUGCAUUCUU